RNAcentral lists this ribosomal RNA (548 nucleotides) under uncultured Ambispora. RNAcentral describes it as "bacterial SSU rRNA". It matches the Rfam family "Eukaryotic small subunit ribosomal RNA", at positions 548 to 1098 of the family's 1831-position model. The record is from RNAcentral. Lineage: Eukaryota; Fungi; Glomeromycota; Glomeromycetes; Archaeosporales; Ambisporaceae.
UUGGAGGGCAAGUCUGGUGCCAGCAGCCGCGGUAAUUCCAGCUCCAAUAGCGUAUAUUAAAGUUGUUGCAGUUAAAAAGCUCGUAGUUGAAUUUUAGGCCUGACCGGGCGGUCCGUCUUUGGCGAGUACUGUCUGUUGUUGGGUCUUCCUUCUGGUGAACCAGUAUGUCCUUUAUUGGGUGUGUUGGGGAGCCAGGACCAUUACCUUGAAAAAAUUAGAGUGUUUAAAGCAGGCUUUAGCUUGAAUACAUUAGCAUGGAAUAAUGAAAUAGGACGUUUGAUCCUAUUUUGUUGGUUUCUAGGAUUGACGUAAUGAUUAAUAGGGAUAGUUGGGGGCAUUAGUAUUCAAUUGUCAGAGGUGAAAUUCUUGGAUUUAUUGAAGACUAACUACUGCGAAAGCAUUUGCCAAGGAUGUUUUCAUUAAUCAAGAACGAAAGUUAGGGGAUCGAAGACGAUCAGAUACCGUCGUAGUCUUAACCAUAAACUAUGCCGACUAGGGAUCGGAUGAUGUUAAUUUUUUAAUGACUCAUUCGGCGCCUUACGGGAAAC